UGAUACUAAGCCAUGCGAGUCAUUGUAGCAAUACAAGGCAUACGGCUCAGUAACGCGUAGUCAACCUAACCUAUGGACGGGAAUAACCUCGGGAAACUGAGAAUAAUGCCCGAUAGAACAUUAUGCCUGGAAUGGUUUAUGUUCCAAAUGAUUUAUCGCCGUAGGAUGGGACUGCGGCCUAUCAGUUUGUUGGUGAGGUAAUGGCCCACCAAGACUAUUACAGGUACGGGCUCUGAGAGGAGUAGCCCGGAGAUGGGUACUGAGACACGGACCCAGGCCCUAUGGGGCGCAGCAGGCGAGAAAACUUUGCAAUGUGCGAAAGCACGACAAGGUUAAUCCGAGUGGUUUCUGCUAAAGGAACCUUUUGUCAGUCCUAGAAACACUGAUGAAUAAGGGGUGGGCAAGUUCUGGUGUCAGCCGCCGCGGUAAAACCAGCACCUCAAGUGGUCAGGAUGAUUAUUGGGCCUAAAGCAUCCGUAGCCGGCUCUGUAAGUUUUCGGUUAAAUCUGUACGCUCAACGUACAGGCUGCCGGGAAUACUGCAAAGCUAGGGAGUGGGAGAGGUAGACGGUACUCGGUAGGAAGGGGUAAAAUCCUUUGAUCUAUUGAUGACCACCUGUGGCGAAGGCGGUCUACCAGAACACGUCCGACGGUGAGGGAUGAAAGCUGGGGGAGCAAACCGGAUUAGAUACCCGGGUAGUCCCAGCUGUAAACCAUGCAAACUCAGUGAUGCAUUGGCUUGUGGCCAAUGCAGUGCUGCAGGGAGGCCGUUAAGUUUGCCGCCUGGGAAGUACGUACGCAAGUAUGAAACUUAAAGGAAUUGGCGGGGGAGCACCACAAGGGGUGAAGCCUGCGGUUCAAUUGG
Molecule: ribosomal RNA, 864 nt
Filed under: uncultured archaeon
Lineage: Archaea
Description: bacterial SSU rRNA
Rfam family: Archaeal small subunit ribosomal RNA
Source: RNAcentral